Molecule: ribosomal RNA, 345 nt
Filed under: Scymnus nephrospilus
Lineage: Eukaryota; Metazoa; Arthropoda; Insecta; Coleoptera; Coccinellidae
Description: partial small subunit ribosomal RNA
Source: RNAcentral
UAAAAAUGUAUUUAUUUAAAUUAAUUGAUUAAUAGUUAUGGCCUUUAAAGUUAAAUAAUUUGGCGGUAUUUUAGUCUUUUCAGAGGAACCUGUUUUGUAAAUGAUAAUCCACGAUUAGAAAAUCUUAAGUUAGAAAUUUAUAUAUCAUCGUUAUUAAAUAUUUUUUUAGAAUUAAAUAUUUAUAAAAUAAAAUUUUAUUUUAAUUCAGAUCAUGGUAUAGUUUAUAUUUAAGUAAUAAUGGGUUACAAUAUUAAUAAAUUUGGAUUUUAAAUUUUAAAUUUAAAUGAAAUUGGAUUUGAAAGUAAUUACUUUUUUUAAAGGUAAUGAUUUAGCUCUAAAAUAUGC